This 243-nucleotide non-coding RNA is filed under the name Bacillus sp. (in: firmicutes). Its description in RNAcentral is "Bacillus sp. T-box sequence". It matches the Rfam family "T-box leader". Rfam says of the family: Uncharged tRNA acts as the effector for transcription antitermination of genes in the T-box leader family. T-boxes are found upstream of many aminoacyl-tRNA synthetase genes and some amino acid biosynthetic genes usually in Gram-positive bacteria. The record is from RNAcentral. Lineage: Bacteria; Bacillati; Bacillota; Bacilli; Caryophanales; Bacillaceae.
GUAAAUGUAAUGAUGAGGACAAUAGUAUUUCUUCACGGUUAUCAGAGAGGGAGGACAUGGCUGCAAGCCUCCUAGCACGGACUAAAUACUUACCGCCUUUAAACUUCAGCUGUGAACCCUUCUUUACCGAAGCUAGUAAUCGCUGACGGCGCCAACCGUUACCCAAACAAUAAAGUUAUUUCUAUUUUUUCAUAGAGAUAAAAAAUUGGGUGGAACCACGUGUUUAUUAAACUCGUCCCUUUU